AUUCAGAAUAAGGAAUUUAAUGAACUAACACAGGACUUUUAUAUUUUUGCUAUAUAUUUGUUGAUUGCUAUGACCAGAAAUGGCUGCCGCCGUACUACAGAGAAACCCUUCAAUAUCGUUUGAUACACUACCAGGAGGCAGGAAGACACGAAAACACAGCUUUGACUAUAAGCAGUCAGAGGCAGAUCCUUAUUCCAGACGACAGUCGAUAAAAUACCACUUCCCAAUACCAUUGCUAGAUGAAACAGAGGUCAACGAGACUGUAGUAAGUGAAGAUGAAAUAAGAAAAAGUGUAUAUGGACUACCCUUAAGUCAGAUGAGUUUUGUAGCUGUUGAAUCGGCAGUAUGGAGACCAACAGUUGCUAGUUGUAGACGUUCUGUGUUAUGGUCACGUGAACGGAAGUUAUAUGAAGCUCAAAGUAGACAACGAAUGGAGGAAUUUAAAGAAAAACCUUACAUGCAACAUCAAUAUCCAGAGCUAAAGAGGCAUUAUCCGGGAACUUGGCGUUUAGCAACAAAACAAGAAAUAAAUGGCAUUGUCGUCAGGUUAACGAAAAAUCCAGCGCCAACUUCCGCCAGCGUUAUGGGUCGUCGUCGAAUUCAAUCAGCUCCGCCUAACUUACCUAUUCUUCAUACACGCAGUGGAAUGACAAAACGACCGACGACAUCAAAUACUAUUUAAAAGGAAACUAUAAGAUUUUUAUAUAUUACAACAAGCACUAAAAAUAAAAAGUGACUUCGAAAAAGACAGCUCGACUCGAUUUGACCUAUGUAUAUAAAUGUUAAUAAACAGAAAGUCAUUGUAAUUAAUUCAUUAACCUUUCAUGAAGAUUGGAAAAACAAAACAUGACUUUGAUCAGCUUUCAGUACGUACUUUGUAAGUCAGUAAGUUAUUUGGUUGAAAUAAAGAGCAAACAUUUGUCUAUCUUCAAUCAUAAAAUAAAUGCAUGUAUAAAGCAAAUACAUAAUUAUUAAAUUCAGAAACACUGCUGUAAACGAUUGUACAUCGACUGAGGCUGAUAGAGUUAUCUCCCAUGUUAUGUAUUUUGAAAUAACACUUGAUUUAUUCUUUAAUAUAUACCUAUGUAACAAUAUUCAAAAUACGCAAUUAACUAUGUUCAUGAUGGGUAAAUAAUUAAUAAUAUACAGUGUCUUGUUUUAAAGACAUCUUCUCUGUUUACACUCAAAAUGUAUCUUAGUGACAGACAUUAUCUCUUAGUAUAUAUAAUAGAACCUGGGACUAAUACGUUGACAUUAUCAAUUAGUCCUAGAUAGAACUAAUUUCCCUAACACACAGAUAUAUAAAAAAAAAGAGGGUACUACAGACUAGAAAUAAUGUUUCGGAACAAUUCUUUUCUGUACUUCUUUAGUUUCGUUCAUGUAAUGGUAAAAUAAAAUUCACCUUCAUCCCUAGAAUUAUAUAUGUAUUUUAAAACUUUUUAGCGCACUAAAAAUGAUAUAAAAUCAUCUAUUCGUCAAGUUAAGUUUAUUUUAUUUUAAGUUCAAAUGUUUUCAAACAUUGUAAGUUUUCCAAAAACAUUUAUGUCAGCUGACCACAUUUGUUUUCAGUUCUGUUUUUAUUUUAUAUUAACUUUGUGUUGCUUACUCGAAAAGAGUGUAGCACAUUGAUAAUAGAGGCGUAUUUUUAAAAACCAAACCAAACAUAUUAUGUAAAUAAAUACUCUUGAAACACAUCACUCUUUUGAAUGACAUUAUAUUUGCGUUUGAGUGUCAGACCUAUUCAUGUGUAACGGAUUGUAAAUUUUAAAUGUAACUUUGUGCAUGUGUACAUUUAUAAUUUGAUAUCGUUUGCUUCAGAAAAUAAAUGUUCGACUAGCCAG
Molecule: long non-coding RNA, 1841 nt
Organism: Mytilus californianus (California mussel)
Lineage: Eukaryota; Metazoa; Mollusca; Bivalvia; Mytilida; Mytilidae
Exons: 3
Source: RefSeq, a predicted model, not a curated record